Molecule: non-coding RNA, 25 nt
Filed under: Mus musculus (house mouse)
Lineage: Eukaryota; Metazoa; Chordata; Mammalia; Rodentia; Muridae
Also listed under: 1 other name
Source: RNAcentral
CCACAAAGUUUGACUGCCAGGAGCU